This 497-nucleotide ribosomal RNA is filed under the name uncultured bacterium. Its description in RNAcentral is "partial 16S ribosomal RNA". It matches the Rfam family "Bacterial small subunit ribosomal RNA", at positions 28 to 507 of the family's 1533-position model. The record is from RNAcentral.
GAUGAACGCUGGCGGCGUGCCUAAUACAUGCAAGUCGAGCGAACGGACGAGAAGCUUGCUUCUCUGAUGUUAGCGGCGGACGGGUGAGUAACACGUGGAUAACCUACCUAUAAGACUGGGAUAACUUCGGGAAACCGUAGCUAAUACCGGAUAAUAUUUUGAACCGCACGGUUCAAAAGUGAAAGACGGUCUUGCUGUCACUUAUAGAUGGAUCCGCGCUGCAUUAGCUAGUUGGUAAGGUAACGGCUUACCAAGGCAACGAUGCAUAGCCGACCUGAGAGGGUGAUCGGCCACACUGGAACUGAGACACGGUCCAGACUCCUACGGGAGGCAGCAGUAGGGAAUCUUCCGCAAAGGGCGAAAGCCUGACGGAGCAACGCCGCGUGAGUGAUGAAGGUCUUCGGAUCGUAAAACUCUGUUAUUAGGGAAGAACAUAUGUGUAAGUAACUGUGCACAUCUUGACGGUACCUAAUCAGAAAGCCACGGCUAACUACGUG